UCAUUCCAGGGCCAAGUUGUCUGAUUGAAACCUUCAUACCAGUACCUUCACAACCAGAACACUUCAUUGAUUCACCAGACUUCGACCCCUUGCCACUACACUUAGAGCAAAUAACAUUGCGCGAAAGCGAGAGUUUCUUGGUCAUCCCAUUGUAUAGGUCCUCAAGCGACACUUUCAAUGGAUGCACUACAUCGUCACCCCUCCUCUCUCUUUGUCCUCUACGACCACCACCUCCAAAAGGACUUCCACUAAAGAAGGAAUUAAAGAGGUCAAAUGGAUCAUGUGUACCACCACCACCACCCAUUCCUUCUUUCAGUGCUUCUUCUCCAUACUGAUCAUAAAUCUCACGCUUCUGUGAGUCACUCAAGACCUCAUAAGCUUG
Molecule: unclassified non-coding RNA, 382 nt
Filed under: Hevea brasiliensis (rubber tree)
Lineage: Eukaryota; Viridiplantae; Streptophyta; Magnoliopsida; Malpighiales; Euphorbiaceae
Source: RNAcentral